UUCGAGCGCCUCCGGGACCACGCUCUUUGAGGGGAGCGGCAGGGCGGGGGGCUUUGGAAAGCCGGGGUUGUGGCGGCUUGGCUGGGGGUGCCGCCGUACGAGAGGUCUCCCGUGCUGGGGAGGGUCUUACGUCCAGGGCAGCCAAUCAGGGUGAAGGAGUUCCAGUCACAGCCAGUGAGCAGGCAGUGGCUGGCUGAUUUAUGGGGUUGGGGCGAGCCGCGUUAUUUUUCGGGGUAGGGUAUUAUGCUUCGCUGGGAUCCGGCGCGGUUGUGAGUGGGUGAUGGUAGUCAAGUUUUAAAGGGUCCGGUGGUGCGUGCGGUCGUCCCCACCUGGACAUGGACUUUGCACUAUCCCCUCAGGCCCCGAGAAGGAGAAGGACCGCACCCCUCAGCUUCCCUCUGGGGAGCGGAGAGCUGUGUUGCCUGACGAGCUUGGCCAGGUACAAAGGUGACCCUCGGGCGACACCCACCGUCAGGCCAGACUGUCUCAUUAUGGGGUUGCACUCCUUUUUUUUUUUUUUUUUUUUUUUAAGCGGGAGGCGAGUGUCACCGACGUCUUAACUUUGGAGAGCAGAGGAUUUCCUUUGCACGAGUCUUGUGUGAGCCAAGAGGUGGAGAGAUCCGGAGGUGUCCCCCUUAAAGUUGUGUCCCGGGGAGGGCUGAUUUCAUGGCAUCACUGUCAGUAACACGAACCAGUUGCUGCGGGCAAGUAGAUGAAUUGCUAUAAAUCUUAUGUUCUGAUUACACCAUCCACCCCCAUUGCAUUAGAGACAGAAGGUGGGUGGCACUAGAGAAAUUACUUCCAAAGGUACUUUUUUGGAAUGGUGUAUAAUUAAUAACAGCCAAUGUGAGGAAGGAACGCGCGUAAAAGGACACAAUAGAAUGCUUUAGAAAGUGAUAGAAGGGAGGGAAAAACACAAUUAUGGGAGAAUAGUUAAUGUAGAUGAGAGAAAUAGGGACAGCUACUUAUUUCUUCAUUUAAAAAGUAUUAUUGAGCUCCUGCUACAGCAAGAAUUAAUGGUGAUGAGAUACUGUUUCUCAGGAGCUUUUAUUCUAGCCGAGUGUGCCUCUAAAUUCAUUUUACUCUUAUUAGCACUUCAAAGUAAGCAUUUAUUAUCUCCAUUUAAUAUCCCCAUUUUACAGUUUUGGAAUCCGAGGCUCCAGGCUUUUAAGUAAUUAGUUCAAGAUCACAUAGCUGGCAGUAAGUGGUGGAAUCAAGAUGCCAAGUACUUGGCUUUCUGACUUUUUCCAUUGAACUUCACUUUUGCUACAGGAAGGAGAAAAAUGAAAGCUUAAGUUGCUAAGACAAGCCUGCAUGAGUUAAACUUUCAUCAUGCUUUUAACUAGCAACUUCCUUUCUCUGCAUUCUUCCUGAACCCCAUCAAACCCAGGGCCUUGCACCUGUUGGAUGUGUGCUCUCCUACUGAACUGUACCACAAGCCUUCCUUUGCAUCAUUUUCAAAAGGAAAAAAUAAAAGACCAAAAAAAACCCCCACACCCAUUGUGUUUAGUUUUAGACACAUCAUUCAAAGCUAAAAAUGGAGGCUUAUUGGUCCAUGCUGUAAAUCCCAGCAUUCAGAGGCUGAAGUAAAUCAAUCUUGAAUUGGAGUCUAGUGUGGGCUGAAUAAUGUGAUCAUCUCUAAACAAGAUUAUCUUUAGGUAGACAUGGAAGAGAAGCAACUGAACAUUAUAUCCUGAAAAUUCUGGAAUUAUGAAAUCUCAUGACUGGGAUAAAUGCAGAAUAAUAUUGGAAUUCAUUAAUGUAAUAAAUUAAAAAUCUCACAGCAUUUAUCCAGUCUAUUCAAGAUAGAGUAAUUUUAGUGAGUGGUGUUAUGGAAUUAAGUUCCUUU
This is a long non-coding RNA of Perognathus longimembris pacificus (Pacific pocket mouse), 1849 nucleotides long. RefSeq lists it as uncharacterized. NCBI's taxonomy places the organism in Eukaryota, Metazoa, Chordata, Mammalia, Rodentia, Heteromyidae. The record is from RefSeq and is a predicted model, not a curated record. The transcript has 2 exons.